This 697-nucleotide unclassified non-coding RNA is filed under the name Hevea brasiliensis (rubber tree). The record is from RNAcentral. Lineage: Eukaryota; Viridiplantae; Streptophyta; Magnoliopsida; Malpighiales; Euphorbiaceae.
CUAAAAUUACAUAAAUUUGAGAAAUUUCAAACUAUCAAAUAUUUUCUUUCUCACAAAAUUAAAUAAGUAUAGUAUUUUAAUUUAAUUAUUUUUUAUUUUUGACUUAUUUUAUCUCUAAUAAUAUUGGAACAAAAAAAAGAAAUGAAAUAAAAAGAUGGGGAAAAUUUGAUGAUGGUCCAGUUAGCAAAGCCCAUAUGGCCAUGGGGGCUCAACUGGCACCGGCCAGUUUUCCUUCCACCGUCCGGAGAUAGAGGCAUUCGCUGCUCUGUGAAUCCAGCCUCACGAGGUAUCCUCCGGUCUAGGAAACAGGUCUUCCAAGCAGCCAAGGUUUCCCAAGGGUCACGUGGUUCAACUCCUGGCUUGGAAUGGGCAGACCAGAAAUUAGCCGCAUUGUGCUAAACCUCCUGGACUAAGCCAAUGUUCCAUCACCUUGGUGCCUCCACUUGGAUUACAAGCUCCCGUCACUGAGCCCGGCGAUGGUUGAUGUAGGAUUUUGCAAUUUGCACAUGGCAUGCUUUUAUGCAGAAUGAGGCCAGAUCCAGAGAGGUUGAUGCUUAGAAAUCAUUACUGUAGUUGAUGAACACAAGCUUGAAUCCGUGUACCCACGCUGGACCUUGAGAAGCUGAUUGAGAUGCUAGAGAAGCAGAAUUCAGACAAGAAAGGGAUUGCACGGUCUCCUGACAAAAGGCCUCGGCGG